This is a long non-coding RNA of Panthera uncia (snow leopard), 531 nucleotides long. RefSeq lists it as uncharacterized. NCBI's taxonomy places the organism in Eukaryota, Metazoa, Chordata, Mammalia, Carnivora, Felidae. The transcript is spliced from 3 exons. The record is from RefSeq and is a predicted model, not a curated record.
UCCACAAACCAACAAUAAAGGCAAGUGGCAAAGUCUCAGUGAAAAACCUUGACCUGUCACUGAAAGCCAUUGUCAACAUCUAAAUGUCAGAACACAACUUUUAAAAGGAUUUGAAACUAGAAUGCAUUAGGAGAAUCAGUACAACAUAGACAAUUUAUAAGGAUUCAAAUGAAAGAGGUCAGCUCAUAACUUUGGGCCUGAAGGGAAAGCCACACUGGUUUGCUGUGGACAAGAUUAUGAGUUGCCAUACCGAAGAAUCUUAAUGGAAGGACGCAAAGGAGAUGCUGGAAAUUGUGGAAGAGCUGUGGGGUGAUUCUCCUUUCCUUCCCACCAGACUAAGUCUCUUUCCUAGGUCUUUAAAGUAGAUACAGCAACAGUAAAUAAAAAAAUAAUAAUAAUAAUAGGAAAAGAUCACCUAUUGUUGGCUGUCAACUCCACCUGCUCAUAUUAGAAGACAAGUUCUAAGUUUGGAUCAUAAAUUGUAAAUCCCUGUAGUAUAAACUCUUAAAUGAAUUAAGAAACUUCCAAACA